Molecule: ribosomal RNA, 250 nt
Filed under: uncultured bacterium
Lineage: Bacteria
Description: partial 16S ribosomal RNA
Rfam family: Bacterial small subunit ribosomal RNA
Source: RNAcentral
GACGAGCCACACGAACGUUAUUCGGAAUUACUGGGCUUAAAGGGUGCGUAGGCUGCGCGGAAAGUUGGGUGUGAAAUCCCUCGGCUCAACCGAGGAACUGCGCCCAAAACUACCGUGCUCGAGGAAGAUAGAGGUAAGCGGAACUUACGGUGGAGCGGUGAAAUGCGUUGAUAUCGUAAGGAACACCUGUGGCGAAAGCGGCUUACUGGGUCUUUUCUGACGCUGAUGCACGAAAGCUAGGGGAGCAAAC